Molecule: long non-coding RNA, 474 nt
Filed under: Androctonus crassicauda
Lineage: Eukaryota; Metazoa; Arthropoda; Arachnida; Scorpiones; Buthidae
Source: RNAcentral
GUAAUUCUAGAAAUGUUUUUAAGUAUAAUUUAAAACAUUCUUCAUUUCUUUACUUCAAACUUGUGCCGUAUUACUGAUGUCAUUGACAGAAUCCGAGAUAUUGAUCGGCUGAAAAUUUUCAAACGAUGGGUGUGCAUAAGAACUAUAGUAACAGCCAAAUUUUAGCCAUUGACAGGUUGUACGUGACGUUAAUGUGUUGUGUGUUUUGCUAAUUUAUUUAUGUCAAAUAUUUUGCCCUUAUAAAUUGAUAAACAUGAGCAAUAAAUGGAAAAACAACAGUGUUGAUGCAAACAAAAAGAGAUUAAGGACUCAUAAACUUCAUAUGAUCGAGACAAAGAUGGAAAUAAAUAAAUACUUUAAAACACAGUUUUUGGUGCACAAUUAUUUUGCAUCCCUCAGCUUUCGAACAUUCGACAUUCACACAUACUUUCGGGAACCAAUUAUGUGCGAAAGUCAAGGGCAACCUGUAUUUUA